AUAAAAAGGAUUUGUAUUAAUUUUGGACUUAAUUUUUUUUUUCUUGUAGAAUGUGCUGUAAAGAAGAAUUGUCAAUUGUGCACAAAAGAUAAGAAAUAUAUGCUGAAUAGAUAAUUGAAAAUAGAUCUUCCAGAAAGAGCAGAAGGAAGUUUCUUCAAUGGCUUCCUUCAGGAUUUUAAGCAUCCUUACAGCCUCUUUGAGAAUGAUUGAACUUCCAAAUUUCC
Molecule: long non-coding RNA, 224 nt
Filed under: Theropithecus gelada (gelada)
Lineage: Eukaryota; Metazoa; Chordata; Mammalia; Primates; Cercopithecidae
Description: lncRNA (ENSTGEG00000003945.1)
Source: RNAcentral